AUGCUCUUGUGUAGUUGUGUGUGCCCGUCGUCGCUGCGGCAGCUCCGGUCGUGCGCGCCGGCAAGACCUCCACUGCCAGUUCCUGUCGCUUUGGGUCUUACAUCAUCUGUCGCAUCCCCAAACAUCAUCGACUGUGGCCCUAUCCGAGAAACAAAUGAGACGACCAUGGCCCCUCUCCAAGCUCUCUCCUCCGUCCUCGUCCUCCUGCUCCUCACACAGCACGCGCGCACGGCGAGGGCGAGCACGCUGGAGGACACGUGCAGGCUCGUCGGCACCGGCAGGGCGCAGGACUACGACUUCUGCGUGAAGACGCUGGGGGCGGACCCGGCGAGCGCGACGGCCGACGAGCUCGGCCUGGUCGUCAUCGCGGUGAGGAUCGCCAUGGCGACUGCCAAGGCCACCGGCGACCGCAUCGCCCGGCUGCAGGCCUCCGAGACGUCGCCCCGGCGGCGGCUGGUCCUGGACGAGUGCGCCAACGACUACGCCUUGACAGUGCGCUGGCUGGGGCGCGCCUCCAUGGACUUGGCCGCGGGCGGGGAUGAGGACCGGCUGACGGAGGCGGCCACCCUGCUGGAGCACGUUCGUGGCACGCCGGCGCGCUGCGAUAAGGCGUUCGUCCUCUGGGCCGGCGAGAGGACGCCGCUGACCGACGCGGACCACGAGCUCAACGGGGUGACCAUGAUGGCGUUGAAUAUCUUGCGCCAUUGCUUAAAUGACGGGGCAAAAUGA
Molecule: ribosomal RNA, 729 nt
Filed under: Triticum aestivum (bread wheat)
Lineage: Eukaryota; Viridiplantae; Streptophyta; Magnoliopsida; Poales; Poaceae
Description: partial small subunit ribosomal RNA
Source: RNAcentral